This 440-nucleotide ribosomal RNA is filed under the name uncultured bacterium. Its description in RNAcentral is "partial 16S ribosomal RNA". It matches the Rfam family "Bacterial small subunit ribosomal RNA", at positions 338 to 795 of the family's 1533-position model. The record is from RNAcentral.
CCUACGGGAGGCAGCAGUGGGGAAUAUUGCACAAUGGGGGAAACCCUGAUGCAGCGACGCCGCGUGAGUGAAGAAGUAUUUCGGUAUGUAAAGCUCUAUCAGCAGGGAAGAAAAUGACGGUACCUGACUAAGAAGCCACGGCUAACUACGUGCCAGCAGCCGCGGUAAUACGUAGGGGGCAAGCGUUAUCCGGAUUUACUGGGUGUAAAGGGAGCGUAGACGGCCAGAUAAGUCAGAAGUGAAAGCCCAGGGCUCAACUCUGGGACUGCUUUUGAAACUGGCGGGCUAGAGUGCAGGAGAGGAAAGCGGAAUUCCUAGUGUAGCGGUGAAAUGCGUAGAUAUUAGGAAGAACACCAGUGGCGAAGGCGACUUACUGGACUGUAACUGACGUUGAGGCUCGAAAGCGUGGGGAGCAAACAGGAUUAGAUACCCUUGUAGUC